Molecule: non-coding RNA, 692 nt
Organism: Taeniopygia guttata (zebra finch)
Lineage: Eukaryota; Metazoa; Chordata; Aves; Passeriformes; Estrildidae
Source: RefSeq, a predicted model, not a curated record
AGAGCCUGUGCAGGGGCUGCUUUGCUUUGCAGGCAAGGAAGGGCUUGGGCUGCUCCACUGCCCUUGUUUGCUUUGGGAUCACCAUGGGGGCAGUGCAGGGGAAGGGAGAAAGCCUGGGCUUCCCUCCCCUGUGACUUUUUUUUUUUACUUUUUUCCUUGUUUCCCCUUUUUGUCUGUAAUCUAUUUUCAAUAAUUUGUUGUUUGUUUUUCUAGAGGAAAACCUGUUCCAGGUGGGGUCCAGUCUGGAUCAGGAAGUGCUUGGGAGCAGCUGCAGCGUGGAUGGGCCGUGCCCUUGGAGAAGGCUGAGGGCAUCGUUUGGGACCAGCUUUUCUUCCAGCGGUGGAUGGUGUGAGCCGGGCUCUGCGGGUGCUGAGGCUGCUCUGGGCUCUGCCAGGGCUCUGCUGGGCUCUGCCCUGGGCACAGCUGGGCUGGCUCUGCCCUCACAUUGCUCUGACAGCUUUGCAUCAGACAAGCCUAUUCCGAGCACAGUGCCUGAGCUUUCUGCUUUGGCAGAAGUGCCACAAAUAGACUGAACCUGGCAAGUGGGCCGUGUUCCCGAGGCAGUGCAGUCUGGAACUGAUGGAUGGAGAAGUGCCCUUCUGCACUUCCAAACCAGACCAAAAAGCUGUAAGAGGGAUUUUCUGUCUUUAAGAAACCCUUGACAGUUUCAACGGGAAUGUGCAGCUCAUUCA